RNAcentral lists this ribosomal RNA (225 nucleotides) under uncultured bacterium. RNAcentral's name for it is "partial 16S ribosomal RNA". It matches the Rfam family "Bacterial small subunit ribosomal RNA", at positions 15 to 231 of the family's 1533-position model. The record is from RNAcentral.
GAUCAUGGCUCAGGAUGAACGCUAGCUACAGGCUUAACACAUGCAAGUCAAGGGGCAGCAUGGUCUUAGCUUGCUAAGGCCGAUGGCGACCGGCGCACGGGUGAGUAACACGUAUCCAACCUGCCGUCUACUCUUGGACAGCCUUCUGAAAGGAAGAUUAAUACAAGAUGGCAUCAUGAGUCCGCAUGUUUACAUGAUUAAAGGUAUUCCGGUAGACGAUGGGGA